UUUUUUAAUGAAUGCUUAUGUAGGUUGUUAAUGUUCUUUUCGUUCUGUUUGGUUGGCAUGAAAAAGAGGAAAUAUGAAUGCAAAAAAAGAUACCUUGUAUUCAGCUCUAGAGAGUAUAUCUUUUUGUUAUUUUCCUUCUCCAGCCAAACAGUGCCUGAGGCUCCAGUUUUUGCUGCAGUGUUCAGGUCGACCAAUAGAGAUGGCAUCACUGCAUGCUAGUUUGACGUCAGCUGUGUGCCAGAAUGGAAGCCAUGCUGCUUCGGCAAAGUACCCAAGUACUGCCUUCUUGCCAGGGUUUGAUGUGGUUGGGCGGGUCUCGAGCGCAUCUAAGAAGGAAACAUUCGCUUUGUCUGUUAGCUCGAGCCCUAGUGCCACAUUAACCUUUGAUCCCCCAACAACCAAUUCAGAUAAGACCAAACAAAGGAAGCAUACAGUUGAUCCUGCUUCUCCUGAUUUUCUGCCUCUUCCAUCCUUUGAACAAUGUUUUCCAAAGAGCACCAAAGAAUACAAGGAAGUUAUUCAUGAACAAUCUGGUCAUGUGCUCAAGGUUCCCUUUCGAUGCGUCCACCUAGCUGGGGAUGAGCCAAACUUUGACACUUACGACACCACCGGUCCUCAAAAUUACAGCCCCCGCACUGGACUACCAAAACUGCGCAAAGACUGGGUUGACAAGCGGGAGAAAUUAGGUGCUCCCAGAUACACGCAAAUGUACUAUGCUAAGCAGGGAAUUAUAACUGAGGAAAUGUUGUUCUGCGCCACUCGAGAGAAGCUUGACCCAGAAUUUGUGCGGUCAGAGGUUGCUCGUGGGCGAGCAAUCAUACCUUCCAAUAAGAAGCACUUGGAGCUGGAGCCAAUGAUAGUUGGAAGAAACUUUUUGGUCAAAGUGAAUGCCAACAUUGGAAAUUCUGCUGUUGCUAGCUCUAUCGAAGAAGAGGUUUAUAAGGUCCAGUGGGCAACUAUGUGGGGUGCAGACACUGUCAUGGAUCUCUCUACAGGUCGCCACAUCCAUGAGACACGCGAGUGGAUCCUUCGUAACUCUGCUGUACCAGUAGGGACUGUACCUAUCUAUCAAGCACUUGAAAAAGUCAACGGAAUUGCCGAAAACCUUACUUGGGAAGCUUUCAGAGACACCCUGAUUGAACAAGCUGAGCAGGGUGUAGAUUACUUCACUAUUCAUGCUGGGGUUCUGCUACGAUACAUCCCACUAACAGCGAAGCGAAUGACAGGUAUUGUUUCCCGCGGAGGAUCCAUUCAUGCAAAGUGGUGCUUAGCUUACCAUAAGGAGAAUUUUGCAUAUGAGCACUGGGAUGACAUACUUGACAUCUGUAAUCAAUAUGAUGUGGCCCUGUCAAUCGGAGAUGGGCUAAGACCUGGGUCCAUUUAUGAUGCAAAUGACACUGCUCAGUUUGCAGAGCUCUUGACUCAGGGAGAAUUGACCCGAAGAGCAUGGGAAAAGGAUGUACAGGUCAUGAAUGAAGGUCCUGGACAUAUUCCAAUGCACAAGAUUCCUGAAAACAUGCAAAAACAGCUGGAAUGGUGCAACGAAGCACCUUUCUACACUCUUGGCCCUUUAACUACUGACAUCGCCCCUGGAUAUGAUCACAUCACCUCUGCAAUUGGUGCUGCCAAUAUUGGGGCUCUGGGCACUGCUCUUCUGUGUUAUGUAACUCCAAAAGAACACCUUGGGUUGCCAAACCGGGAUGAUGUGAAGGCUGGAGUUAUAGCAUAUAAGAUAGCUGCUCAUGCAGCUGAUUUAGCCAAAGGUCACCCACAUGCUCAAGCCUGGGAUGAUGCAUUAAGCAAGGCGAGAUUUGAGUUCCGGUGGAUGGACCAAUUUGCUUUGUCAUUGGACCCCAUGACUGCUAUGUCCUUCCAUGACGAAACCCUGCCAGCAGAAGGUGCUAAGGUAGCCCAUUUUUGUUCCAUGUGCGGACCUAAAUUCUGCUCUAUGAAAAUAACAGAGGAUGUGAGGAAGUAUGCUGAGGAGCAUGGCUAUGGAAGUGCUGAGGAAGCUGUGCAGCGUGGGAUGGAUGCUAUGAGUGCUGAGUUUCUGGCUGCUAAGAAAACUGUCAGUGGAGAACAACAUGGUGAAAUAGGUGGAGAAAUAUACUUGCCAGCAAGUUCCUUGAGUUCCUCAGAGGGUUGAAGGAUCAAACGUACGAGGAUAAUCGGUUUGGAAAUCUUGGAGACAUGGUGCAUGAUUGGCGUAUCAAGAACACUCUUGGAAAGUUGUGAAGGGUGCCUGAAUCUGCUUAAGCUCUAGCUAAAACAUGGCUAGGAUGUCACGCAGGUCAGGCUGAGACAGUCCCUUUGAACCUGAACAGGAUAAUGCCUGCGUAGGGAGCGUGCAUUUUCUUUUUGCCUGUUUUUUUUUUCUGUGCUUGCACAGGUGGGGAGCUUCUAUCCAUGGUUCGGGAUUCCUGAUCCAUGUGAGGCAGAUUCAAUCUCAUUGCCAGGCUGAUAUAAGUCGUGGGGCUGGGAAGUAGCUGAAACUGGCUUCCAUGUUUCUUCUAUGCUCCAUCAUAAGAGUAUGAGGAAACGGUCAUAAAAAGCGGAUUUUAACGCAUGUUAUGGAGUUUUUCACACCCUAUGGGUAGUAUCUAUUUAUUAAUAUGAUGUGAGACGACUAAAAUACCUAUUGCUUCACAUUAAAAAGAAAAAAAGAUAAGUUCUUGAUAGGGAAAAUUAUAAACUUACAAUUACUCUCUAUGAAAAAAUCCAUUUAGCGAACA
RNA transcript from Carya illinoinensis, 2732 nucleotides. It is a transcript of the gene named phosphomethylpyrimidine synthase, chloroplastic, with no coding region annotated. The transcript is spliced from 7 exons. The record is from RefSeq and is a predicted model, not a curated record. NCBI's taxonomy places the organism in Eukaryota, Viridiplantae, Streptophyta, Magnoliopsida, Fagales, Juglandaceae.